Molecule: long non-coding RNA, 315 nt
Filed under: Brassica napus (rape)
Lineage: Eukaryota; Viridiplantae; Streptophyta; Magnoliopsida; Brassicales; Brassicaceae
Description: long non-coding RNA (BNAP_LNC024106)
Source: RNAcentral
UGUAGAUACAUAAAUAUACGUAGAAAUUUUUGUUAUUAUUAAUUGUGGUGCGGUGUAGUUUGUAAACAUUUGAAGUCUUAGUAUAUUUGUGGUUUUCAAACAAAAAGGGGUAUAUUUGUGGUUUAAGUGCAUUCCUAUAGGUAUCGAUGAUGGUGUUGUUGUGUUCGUAAUUCAAAAAUUGGUAAACUAAUAUUUUACGUUGUAUCACUAGCAAAAAUUGGUUCCGAAUUAGAAAAAAUUAAGGUCUAAAGUCCAAUUCUUUUGGUUUUAAAAAAUAAAUUAAACAUUACUUGUCCAUAAAAAAAUAUUCCAAGC